AGAUCCUCUUGCUUUGUGGUCCCCCAGGACUUGGGAAGACAACACUUGCACAUGUCGCUGCUAAGCAUUGUGGAUACCGUGUGGUGGAGAUAAAUGCUAGUGAUGAUCGGUCAUCUUCAACAAUUGAAGCUAAAAUCCUUGAUGUGGUCCAGAUGAACUUUGUCAUGGCAGAUUCGAAGCCUAAUUGUUUGGUGAUUGAUGAAAUAGAUGGAGCUCUUGGUGAUGGC
Molecule: long non-coding RNA, 227 nt
Organism: Vitis vinifera (wine grape)
Lineage: Eukaryota; Viridiplantae; Streptophyta; Magnoliopsida; Vitales; Vitaceae
Exons: 3
Source: RefSeq, a predicted model, not a curated record